This 449-nucleotide ribosomal RNA is filed under the name uncultured bacterium. RNAcentral describes it as "partial 16S ribosomal RNA". It matches the Rfam family "Bacterial small subunit ribosomal RNA", at positions 29 to 523 of the family's 1533-position model. The record is from RNAcentral.
AACGAACGCUGGCGGCAUGCCUAAUACAUGUAAGUCGAACGAGAUCUUCGGAUCUAGUGGCGCACGGGUGCGUAACGCGUGGGAAUCUGCCCUUGGGUUCGGAAUAACGUCGGGAAACUGACGCUAAUACCGGAUGAUGACGUAAGUCCAAAGAUUUAUCGCCCAAGGAUGAGCCCGCGUAGGAUUAGCUAGUUGGUAAGGUAAAGGCUUACCAAGGCGACGAUCCUUAGCUGGUCUGAGAGGAUGAUCAGCCACACUGGGACUGAGACACGGCCCAGACUCCUACGGGAGGCAGCAGUAGGGAAUAUUGGACAAUGGGCGCAAGCCUGAUCCAGCAAUGCCGCGUGAGUGAUGAAGGCCUUAGGGUUGUAAAGCUCUUUUACCCGGGAUGAUAAUGACAGUACCGGGAGAAUAAGCCCCGGCUAACUCCGUGCCAGCAGCCGCAGUAA